GAUGAACGCUGGCGGCGUGCCUAAUACAUGCAAGUCGAGCGAACAGAUAAGGAGCUUGCUCCUUUGACGUUAGCGGCGGACGGGUGAGUAACACGUGGGUAACCUACCUAUAAGACUGGGGUAACUUCGGGAAACCGGAGCUAAUACCGGAUAAUAUUUCGAACCGCAUGGUUCGAUAGUGAAAGAUGGCCCUGCUAUCACUUAUAGAUGGACCUGCGCCGUAUUAGCUAGUUGGUAAGGUAACGGCUUACCAAGGCAACGAUACGUAGCCGACCUGAGAGGGUGAUCGGCCACACUGGAACUGAGACACGGUCCAGACUCCUACGGGAGGCAGCAGUAGGGAAUCUUCCGCAAUGGGCGAAAGCCUGACGGAGCAACGCCGCGUGAGUGAUGAAGGUCUUCGGAUCGUAAAACUCUGUUAUUAGGGAAGAACAAACGUGUAAGUAACUGUGCACGUCUUGACGGUACCUAAUCAGAAAGCCACGGCUAACUACGUGCCAGCAGCCGCGGUAAUACGUAGGUGGCAAGCGUUAUCCGGAAUUAUUGGGCGUAAAGCGCGCGUAGGCGGUUUUUUAAGUCUGAUGUGAAAGCCCACGGCUCAACCGUGGAGGGUCAUUGGAAACUGGAAAACUUGAGUGCAGAAGAGGAAAGUGGAAUUCCAUGUGUAGCGGUGAAAUGCGCAGAGAUAUGGAGGAACACCAGUGGCGAAGGCGACUUUCUGGUCUGCAACUGACGCUGAUGUGCGAAAGCGUGGGGAUCAAACAGGAUUAGAUACCCUGGUAGUCCACGCCGUAAACGAUGAGUGCUAAGUGUUAGGGGGUUUCCGCCCCUUAGUGCUGCAGCUAACGCAUUAAGCACUCCGCCUGGGGAGUACGACCGCAAGGUUGAAACCCAAAGGAAUUGACGGGGACCCGCACAAGCGGUGGAGCAUGUGGUUUAAUUCGAAGCAACGCGAAGAACCUUACCAAAUCUUGACAUCCUUUGACCCUUCUAGAGAUAGAAGUUUCCCCUUCGGGGGACAAAGUGACAGGUGGUGCAUGGUUGUCGUCAGCUCGUGUCGUGAGAUGUUGGGUUAAGUCCCGCAACGAGCGCAACCCUUAAGCUUAGUUGCCAUCAUUAAGUUGGGCACUCUAAGUUGACUGCCGGUGACAAACCGGAGGAAGGUGGGGAUGACGUCAAAUCAUCAUGCCUCUUAUGAUUUGGGCUACACACGUGCUACAAUGGACAAUACAAAGGGCAGCGAAACCGCGAGGUCAAGCAAAUCCCAUAAAGUUGUUCUCAGUUCGGAUUGUAGUCUGCAACUCGACUACAUGAAGCUGGAAUCGCUAGUAAUCGUAGAUCAGCAUGCUACGGUGAAUACGUUCCCGGGUCUUGUACGCACCGCCCGUCACACCACGAGAGUUUGUAACACCCGAAGCCGGUGGAGUAACCAUUUGGGGCUAGCCGUCGAAGGUGGGACAAAUGAUUGGGGUGAAGUCGUAACAAGGUAGCCGUAUCGGAAGG
RNAcentral lists this ribosomal RNA (1503 nucleotides) under uncultured bacterium. RNAcentral describes it as "bacterial SSU rRNA". It matches the Rfam family "Bacterial small subunit ribosomal RNA". The record is from RNAcentral.